RNAcentral lists this long non-coding RNA (13641 nucleotides) under Sorghum bicolor (sorghum). RNAcentral describes it as "long non-coding RNA (SBIC_LNC000838)". Lineage: Eukaryota; Viridiplantae; Streptophyta; Magnoliopsida; Poales; Poaceae. The record is from RNAcentral.
CAAGAAGAAGACGACGCAACCGCAACCAGAGGAGGCAAAUCAUCAAGGACGGAUGGGAAGACUACGAAGGAGAAGUGGUAAGGUCUGAAGACAUACAACUUGAACAGAACUGUCCUGAGGAGACCGUAGCACCGAGUCAGGUGUGGAGAGAGAAGACAGUUAUACACGAAGAAGAAGCGCCGCCGGAACCACUGACUAUGCCAUCCAGCAAAUCCCAGGACGACUGAGAAAACGGAGAGUCCCGUUCGGAGGACUUAAAAACACCGAACGCCUUGCCAGGAGUUCCACAAAGCUUUGUUGUCUAUUUGAGCUCCACAGAAUUCAAGGAUCAAAAGAAGACUAGCAGACGGAGGACAUCCUAAUCGCUGUCAGGGUGCUGCCAACUUUCCAAAAACACCUCCACCACCUGCUAGCUACAUCAGAAGAAAUUACGUCAAAAUCAAGCUUGGGGGAGAGCACCCCCAUUUAUCCAGAUAAGUGUUUCUACUCGCAUUUAUACUCUACUCAAAUAAUAAAAAGAUGCAUAAUCAUGAAACCCAAAUAAAAUUUUUUGCUUAUAUCUUUGCUUAGUUUGCUAAAUAAAUAAAUAAAUAAAGUGUCUAGGCUAAACUGAACUUAAAUGAUAAACUCUUACAUGCAUAUAAUAAAUAGUUGCUCUGCCAUAUACCUCGUUCUCAAAAUUGAAAUCUCUCUCAAGUUUAGGCAUGACUGAUAUGAAUUAAGAUUUGCUCUAAACCUGAACUUGUGGGAAGAGUACUUGAUCUAAAGUCUAAGUCGUUAACGGAUAUGAUAUAGGAAGGUUGAGCUGCUGUUUAUCUGUUCCUAGAGAUGCUAGAAUUCUGGAGAAUUUUAUCUUUAAAAAUAUUUAAAAUAACACAUGAUGAGUUCCUGUAUGAUGAGAGUUUAAAUUCCUACCACAGCCAUUUAUACAUGCUUGCUAGACUUUGAGCCACACAUUUACUUUUUACUCCUUAUGAGCAUUGAGUGUGGUCAAGCUGUGUAGACCCUUAGGAGCUUGUCAUGUGGUUAAAUCAAGAUUCACUUGCAUGUUCAAUCACACAUGCUGCUUCUACUCCGGAAGUACGCAUCCAGAGCCACCCAAAAGUAUUCUACUCCUAAUCCGGGAGAGAAUAGCCAAAAACAUUUCCGUUUUUCUUGUGAAAUAAAUGCUCGAGUUAUCUUGGUUACUACCACUUGCUAUAUUAUUUUAGGAGAUGAGUGCUCUAAAUAUAUAUAUAUAUAUAUAUAUAUAUAUAUAUAUAUAUAUAUAUAUAUAUAUAUAUAUACGAGGAAAUAAAAAGAGGCAAGUGCCCGGAACCUCAAAGAAAAGAAAAAGUGAGACGAGAGGUAAAAAUGGACAAGUGUCUGACAGUAGAAUUAGGGGUACAAGAUACCCACCUGAGAAGAAAAAGAAAAUAUAGAGCAUCUCAUUCUCCUCAAAAAACUUCAAAGUGCAAGAAAGGUAUGUAUCCCCUCAAAAGAGCAAAAGAAUUAGAUUUUCACCAUUGUUAUCACCAUCAUCAUCAUACACCAUUGACUCGCCACACAUGCACAUCUUGAUUUGACUUAUUGACUUGUUUCUCUGGAUCCAUGGUUUGACUAUGCAAUAAAUGUCUUGUAAGUAUGUAUUAGCUGUCUCCCACCUAUGAGCUCCAAAUAUCAAAACCUUAUUAGAGUAGGGUGAGAGAGAAGGCAAUAUCACUAUGCAUUAUACCAAAAAUACCACAUACUUUGAGAGAAGGCAUAUACCAUUACUGCCUUGGUAAGGAUCUAGAAAUACCACAAAAGAGAGAUUUGAGAGAAUCAUAUAAGGAAUCUCUGAGUUUUAUUUGAAAAUCUGCAAAAACUCCAGAGCUAUAGCUGAUCAAGAAUAAGAGACAUGGUGCUUGACUUGACUGUUCUAUCUUUUAACUGCUCAAGACACAAGUGACGGUUACAAGCCCCAUGGUGAAAGGUAAAAUGAGUAAGUUUUAAGUCUUAACAGUUUAUUCUAACUCAGAGAUGGGAUCUUGCUUGAAUGUGUGUGUACUUUUGAGGCAUGAAACCACUGCAGAAACUCUUGAGUUCAUCCUUGCUCAGGGACGAGCAAGAGGUAAGCUUGGGGGAGUUGUUGAUGGUCCUUAAGUACCAAAUAUAAUCAUCAAAUAAAUAAAGAAAAGGAUCCAAAUGCAACCAACUCCCAGACUUAGGGUUUUAUCUGACAGAAUUCCACGAGUUUUGGUGUUUGUCUAUUUCUGCAGGGGGUUAUCAGGAAAUACGGAGGAAAGGCCCACAUGUCGAGAUUACAUAGAGAUAUCAACGCACCGCGCAAUUAUCUUACAUCUAGAAGACUCCAGAAGCCACGGGAAGGAAGCGGAGGCCGAACGGGGCCAAGCGCUGGGCGCCCGCCCAGUUGACCUGGGCGCCCGCCCUAACUUGGAGUUGGAUGAGGACUCUUUUCGCGGACGAUGUUCCACCGACCUAAAGGUUCAAGGAUAACCGUCCAAUCAAUGUCGUUUUGAUCCAAUGGCUCAUGUUCACUUGAGGGGACUAUAAAACCAGACCCCCUGGCCCCUGGAGGAGACAAGUUUUUCAUAGAGUUGAGAGGAGCCCUCGAAGGAAUACCUCUCCUCUAAAUAAAAUUUAUUUUAGGCUUAGCAUCCAAUGUGAGUAGAAUUAGAUCUUCUAGUUUCUACUAGAUUGAGAGAGAUAGAGUGGAGGUGUAGAUCGGAGGAAGCCCGGCCUGUUGGUGUCUACUCCGAGGUUGUACCUACGGGAUCAAGUCUUCUAACCCGAGGCUUGCUCCUAAGAUUCUUCAGUAAUUCGACUUCUAAUUCUAGUAAGUUCUUGUUUUAUUGUUCUUUGGUUUAUGAGUUUACUUUAAUCCUCUUCCGGUUGAGUAUUAGAGUAAUCAUUGCUAGUGUAAACGUGGUGUUUAGGCUAGGGUACUUAUAGAUAUCCCCUGACUAGCUGGACCGUGGUAGUAGCGAGGAACGUGACAUUUUCGAGUUACCUUUGUAUCCCACAUCUCGUUAGCAGGAAGGGUAGGGUUUAUAGGUGCCGGUCAAACAUCCAUUGUGGUGUCUAGAUUCCGUAAGCUUCCCCAAUAGAACAGUAGAUCAUCCUUACCAAGGUUAGAUUGAGACUACGGUUGCAGUCUUCUCUAUACAUCACUCACAUCGAGAAACAUUCUUUGUAGCCUAAAGGGGUAGUAGCAAUAGAUUUGGUUAGUCAGAUGCACCUUUUCUCCCAGUGGUAAAAAUAUAAAUAUGAUAACUCUGGAAAACCUCCCGGGUGAAAUGCUCACCGAUAUCCGUGCGCUUGCGGAUCAUUUCCUUAUUGCGUUACCAAAUAUCGAUAGCUGGCAUGCCUUAAAGUUUGAAUCGGGUAUUAGCCCUUUGUGUUUGCAGAUCCGCUUUUGCACCAACAGACGGAUUCCAUGUUUUGAUAGAUAUUGCUUGAAGCGCUUGUCGUUGAAGUGUGCUCCUCCAUCACUUAUCACUACUCUGGGAACUCCAAAUCUUGGAAAUAUAACUUCUUCAAACAUCCUCUUUGAACUGAUGUUGUCGGCAUGCUUGCAAGGUAAUGCCUCUACCCACUUGGAGACGUAGUCAACUGCCACCAAGAUGAACUCACACUUCUUUGAUGGGGGAAAUGGACCCAUGUAGUAUAUUCCCCAGACAUCAAAGAGCUCAAUCUGAAGGUUGUUGGUGAGUGGCAUGGCAUCCCUCGUGUUUAUGUUUCUGUGCCUUUGACAUGGCCCACAUCUUCUGAUAUAUUGCUUCGUGUCUUCAUACAUUGUAGGCUAGUAGAAUCCACACUGCCAGAUCUUUGAAUGUGUACGGAAUGCUCCAUAAUGACCUCAAUAUGGUGAUGAAUGACAUCUGUUGAUGAUCUUCGAUCCUUCCUCAGUGGUCACACACCUUCUGAGUAAGCCAUCAAAGCAUACUCGGAAGGGGUAUGGCUCAUCCCAUAUAUGUGAACGACUUUGUUGAAUAAGCUUCUUCUUGUUUGCUCCUAGUGGUACAUUCUCUGAAACCAUAAAAUUAACAAUAUCUGCAUACCAUGAGUCAGACCUGUUAAUCCCGUAGAGCAUGUCAUCCCGGAGUGAAUCAUUGAUGGGGGUUUCAUGUGGACUCUUAAAAUACAUUCUAGACAAGUGAUCAGCAACAGAAUUUUCUAUUCCCAUUUUAUCUCUUAUUUCUAAGUCAAAUUCUGGAAGUAAUAAGAUCCAUCUAAUCAGGCGAGGUUUAGCAUCUUUUUUAGUGAGCAAAUAUUUUAGUGCAGCAUGAUCAGUGUAAACAAUUAUUUUAGCUCCAACUAAAUAAGAUCUAAAUUUAUCAAUGGCAAAGACAACAGCCAGAAGCUCUUUUUCAGUGGUUGCAUAAUUAAGUUGAGCUCCUGUCAAAGUUUUACUGGCAUAAGCAAUUGCAUGAUGCUUCUUAUUUUUAGUUUGUCCUAAAACUUCCCCCACAACAUAAUCACUAGCAUCACACAUAAUUUCAAAAGGCAACGACCAAUCAGGGGGUUGAAUGAUUGGUGCAGAGACGAGUGCUUUGUUUUAUAAAUUGAAAGAUGUUAGACAUGCAUCAUCAAAUUCGAAAGAAGCAUCCUUGGCUAGCAAAAGAGUAAGUGGUCUAGCAAUGGAUGUAAAAUCUUUUAUGAAUCUGUGAUAAAAACCAGUAUGGCCAAGAAAGCUUCGAAUUCCUUAUAUAUUCACAGGUGGAGGUAGUUGUUCAAUUACUUCAAUUUUAGCUCUGUCUACCUCAAUACCUCUUUCAGACACUAGGUGUCCCAGCAUUGUUCCUUCUCUAACCAUAAAAUAACAUUUUUCCCAAUUAAGGACUAAGUGCUUUUCUUCACAUCUUUGCAAAACCUUGUCUAAAUUUUCAAGACAACUAUCAAAAGUUUUUCCAUAAAAAGAGAAAUCAUCCAUGAAAACUUCCAUAAUCUCUUCAAUCAUAUCAGAAAAUAUAGACAUCAUGCAUCUUUGAAAAGAAGCUGGUGCAUUACAUAGCCCAAAAGACAUUCUACGGUAAGCAUAAGUUCCGUAUGGGCAUGUAAAAGUGGUUUUGCUUUGAUCAUCAGGAUGGAUCGGAAUCUGGUGAUACCCUGAAUAUCCAUCUAAGAAACAGAAGAACGAAUGGUUCGCUAAUCGCUCUAGCAUCUCAUCUAUGAAAGGUAAAGGAAAAUGAUCCUUUCUCAUGGCUUUGUUUAGUUUCCUAUAGUCUAUGCACAUCCGCCACCAUGUGACGGUGCGUUGUGGAAUUAGCUCGUUCUUUUCAUUCAUAAUGACAGUCAUGCCUCCCUUUUUAGGCACAACUUGAACUGGGCUUACCCACUCACUGUGCGGCACAGGAUAUAUAAUCCCUGCAUGCAGCAACUUUAUAACUUCCUUUUUAACUACCUCUCUCAUCGCGUUGUUACAUCUACGUUGGGGCUCUCGAGAAGGUGAAACAGAAGGAUCUGUUGGAAUACGAUGGGUGCAAAUCAUAGGACUGAUUAAUGUAAGAUCUUUGAGUGAGUAGCCAAAAACUGAGUGAUGUUCCUCAAGAAUGGUCAUCAAUCGCAGAGUUUGCUCCUGAGUGAGUUUAUCACUAAUGAUCACAGGAAACUCUGGAUUAUUGUUUAGGAAAGCAUAGAUAAGACCGGGUGGUAAAGUUUUAAGCUCUAUGGGAGGUCUAGGCGUUUCUGCAAACUCAUCUAAGGGUUCAGGUUCAGAAGGUUCAGCUUCUUCUUCUAUGAAGAAAGGAGCUUCUUCUUCUAAGUCUGGUUCAUCUAAAAGCUCUAGAGAUGCAGCCUUUACCUCCUCCAUAGGAUCAGGCAAAAGAUAUGACUCGGCCUUAUUAUUUAAGGAGUGUGAAAUUGUUAUGGGAAAUUUAAAAGUUUUUCCAAAAGAAAUAUGUAGCUUUCCAGUAUGACCUUCAUAAAGGAGUCUUCUAAAAGGUUGUCCUAUCAAUAGGUCGAAGUCUCAUGUAUCAAAGAUAUAAAAGUUCAAAUGAACCAUGGAGCCUUCUACCAAUAAAGGUAGGACAUUAAUAAUUCCAAGACUGGGAACUAAUCGUCCCGAAGAUUCCUUUAUGACUUUUGUUGUGGGGGUUAAAACCAAAUUUUUAAAUAGUUUAAGUGCAAAAGAUUCAGACAUGAUGUUGAUCCCCACAACAGGAUUAUAGAGAGCAUCAAAUUGAUCAGAAUCAUAAGCACAGCGUAUAGUUAUAGAGGGUGUGUCCAAACGGAUCACAUCAGAGGAAAGCUCUGACUCCUCCAACCACUCGCUACUCAUGACUAAGAUAAGCUCUCUCAAUUGAUGUUAAGUUGGCAAACAAAUGCUAAAAUGGCCGUUUUGGGGUCUAUUAAUAGAAUGGUAGUUAAAAAGGAAGUUAUAAAAGAUCAGAUUCUAUAUCCAGCAUGAAAUCCGAUGGUGGAAUUUCUUCCUUUUGUGGCUCAGAACUUGGGAUAGCUAAAGUAGAUGGAGAAUUCGGCAGAGUGUCUAUUUCGGCUUCGUGGGUUUCAUCAUGAAGGGUAUUAUCCAUCUCAGCUUCUAGGAUUCUAUCUAGGAUCACUCUAGCAUCAUCAGUAGGGAUGCGGAAGAAAGAACCUCUAGACAUUGUAUGUAGCAUUUGUUUAUGAUCUUUCUGAAGACCUCGAAAAAAGUGAAAUAAAAGAACAGGGUCUUCAAGAUUAAGGUUUGGACUAGAUUCUAAAAGAUCAAAAAAACGUUUCCAGGAUUUUCCCAAAGUUUCAUUAUCUUUUUGUUUAAAAGAUAGGACUUUGAGUCUAAGGUCACCGAUACGGUCGAGGGAAUAAAAAUCUAGACAAAAGUUGGCUCGUAAAACUCCCCAUUCACCUCGUUGUUGACUUAACUUAUAACUGUACCAUUGUCUAGCUUCUCCCCUUAAAGAAAAAGGAAAAAGCUUCCAACGUAAAGUUUUAUCAGAAAUGCCUUCAAUGCAAAGACAAUCACAUGUUUGCUCAAAAUCUCUAAUAUGCAGGUAAGGGUUUUCGUCUUCCUUUCCUGAAAAAGAUAGGUUUUGAAUCAUGGCAAUCAACCUAGAACUUAACCUAUACUGGGAUGUUUGGAUAGGCUGUGAUGACUCCCAUGGUAAAAGGUCAGUUACCGAAGGUGUUGCAAAUUGGUAAAUUGAUUUAGAAUCUUGGUUUUCCAUAAGGUAAGAAUAAAUAAAAUAAAUAAAUAAUAUAAAAGAUAAGAAAAGAUAGAAGUAUAGAUACAAGCUAGUAGUAAGUGUUGGGUAUUCUUAACAUUACUACCAAAAGUAGACUUAGUUUUCUAAUUCUGAUAACGGUGCUAAAAAUGCCAAACCUAUCCCUCAUACCACUUAAGCCAAGUUGUCAUCCCCAGCAUGGCAUGAGAGACGCGGUAUUAAAAUAUGCAAUUGCUCAUCUAAAUAAAUAAUGAAUGGGAUCUGCAAGCGCACAGAUUAAUACCGAUGUAGCAUUUUAACCGGGAAGUAUUCCAGGUAUCGUUAUUUAUAUUUUUACCACUGGGAAGGGAUUAGCAAUCAUCAAUAUUGAUUAUAGAAUGGAAUAUGAGGUUGAGUAUCUAUCAUUGCAUGUAUAAUUGAGAAUAGUUAUCUAACUCUUUCAUACAGGGUAAGUGUCACAUAAAGGAUAUAAAGUAAUGAAUAGUGACAAAGAUAAUUAAUCUGAUCAGCAUAACUUAGCCACAUAAUAAAUAUAAUAAGCACCUCAAUUAGAUAUUCUAGCAAGUCAUUAGCAUGGAAUUAGAAUGAACUACAAGAAUAUUUCCUAAGUUAUUCUUAACUAUACAGUCUAGCAUUAUCAUAGUUAGUGCAAGUAUACUUAGCAAUCAUUGUGAGACAAGACUACGCCCAUGCAUAAUCAUAUUAGCAAGGAACAUGAGAAACAUCGUAAUCACUCCCCUGUAAUAAUGUUGCUCUGCCAGCCCAAUACACGAGAGGGGAACUAUAUAAGAAUCAAUGAAGCUAUCACUAUCACGAACUACCCCGCGAUCUGGCAUAUUGGGUACAAUCGUAGAUAAAUACGGUAUCAGCACCACGCCUACACAAUAUCUAUCAUUUACCCAUGGAUCCGAUGGAUAAACGCUAUACGAUCCUAAACAUGUAUAUAGAUCCAAUCUAACUAAGCCAAGUAUAUAACUAUGAUAGACUAAGAACAAUAUAAUCUUGAAUAUAAACAAGUAGAGCAAAGUCAUAAGCAAUAUAUUAAAGUAGAACAAAGUCAUAUUCAUAAUAUUGAAGAACAAGAUGAACAAUUAGAAGAACAAUUAGAGAAUUACCAAGAAUCCUCUUGACAGAUCCGGAAACCAAUCGAAGAUUGACUCCUUCUAGUUCUAAUCCUAUGUAGCUAUGCUAAUCUAGAUGUCUAAUUGAUGUGGUGGCUCCAGGCUUGAUCAGAGGAUUCUUCUCCCUUGAGGAAUAAUGAAUUAGGGUUGAGAGGCUCUCUCCUCCAGGGGCCUGGGGGUCUAGUUUUAUAGUCCCUUUAAGUGAAUAUGGGCCAUUGGAUCAAACUGACAUAGAUUGAACGAUUAUCCUUGAUCCUUUAGGUCAGUGGAGAUCGUUCCCGAAAGAGAGUCCUGAUUGGACUCCAGAGGUGGGCGGGCGCCCAGGGCCAGGCCCCGUUCGGCCUCCGCUUCCUUCCCGUGGCUUCUGGAGUCUUCUAGAUGUAAGAUAAUUGUGUGGCACGUUAAGAUCUCUGUGUAAUCCUGACGUGUGGGCCUUUCUUCCGUAUUUCCUAAUAACCCCCUACAGAAAUAGACAAACACCAAAACUCGUGGAAUUCUGUCAGAUAAAACCCUAAGUCUGGAUGUUGAUUUCAUUUGGAUCCUUUUCUUUAUUUAUUUGAUGAUUAAAUUUGAUACUUAAGGACCGUCAACAAACUCCCCCAAGCUUACCUCUUGCUCGUCCCUGAGCAAGGAUAGACUCAGAGAUGGAUCAGAAGUUGUUUCAAUAUCUUUAAAAAUUGACGGUACACAAGCUUUUAAAUAAGAUCUCAUCUCUGAGUUAGAGUAAACUUUCAAGACUUAAAACUUACUUGCUUUACCUUUCACCAUGGGACUUGUAACCGUUUCUUCUGUCUUGAGUAGUUAUUAAAAGAUAGAACGGUCUAGUCAAGUGCCAUGUCUCUUAUUCUUGAUCAGCUAUAGCUCUGCAGUUUUUUGCAUAUUUUCAAAUAAAACUCAGAGAUUCCUUGUAUGACUCUCUUAGAUCUCUCUUUUGUGGUAUUUCUAGAUCCUUACCAAGGCAGUGAUGGUAUAUGCCUUCUCUCAAAAUAUGUGGUAUUUAUGAUAUGAAGCAUAGUGACAUUGCCUUCUCUCUCACCCUACUCUAAUAAGACUUUAAUAUCUGGAGCUCAUAGAUGGGAGAUAAAAUAUACAUACUUACAAGACAUUUAUUGUAUAGUCAAACCAUGGAUCCACAGAAACAAGUCAAUAAAUCAAAUCAAGAUGUGCAUGUGUGGCGAAUGAUUGGUGUAUAGUGAUGAUGGUAAUAACAAUGGUGAAAGUCUAAAUCUUUUGCUCUUUGAGGGGAUACAUACCUUUAUUGCUUUUUGAAAUUUUUGGAGGAGAAUGAGAUGCUCUAUCUUUUCUUUUUCUUUUCUCUCAGGUGGGUAUCUUGUACCCCUAUUUCUACUGUCGGACACUUGUCCGUUUUUGCCUCUCGUCUCACUUUUUCUUUUAUUUCUUUCGAGGUUCCGGGCACUUGCCCCUUUUUAUUUCCUCGUAUAUUUUUUUUCUUUUUUUAGAGCACUCAUCUCCUGAAAUAAUAUAGCAAGUGGUAGUAGCAAGAUAACUUGAGCAUUUAUUUCACAGGGGAAAAAUAGAAAUGUUUUUGGCUAUUCUCUCCUAGAUUAGGAGUAGAAUAUUUUUGGGUGGUUCUGGAGAUGGAAAUGAGUAGAUAUAUGUGGAUGGUACUUCUAGAGUAGAAGAAGCAUGUGUGAGUGAACGUGUAAGUGAAUCUUGAUUUAACCACAUGACAAGCUCCUAAAGGUCUACACAGCUUGACCACACUCAAUGCUCAUAAGCAGUAAAAAGUAAAUGUUUUGCUCAAAGUCUAGCAAGCAUGUAUAUAUGUCUGUGGUAGGAAUUUAAACUCUCAUCAUACAGAAACUCAUCAUGCAAUAUUUUAAAGAUUUUCCAAGAUAAAAUUCUCCAUAAUUCUAGCAUCUCUAUGAACAGAUGAACAGCAGCUCAACCUUCCCAUAUCAUAUCUGUUAACAACUUAGACUUCAGAUCAAGUUUUCUUCCCACAAGUUUAGGUUUAGAGCAAGCUUUAAAUUAUAACAGUUAUGUCUAAACUUGAGAGAGAACUUUAAUUUUUAAAAAUUAGGCAGAGCAACUCUUCAUCAUAUCCAUGCUAGAGUUUUAUUAUUAAGAUUCAGAUUAGCAUAGCCACUUUAUUUAUUUUUUAAGCAUACUAAGCAAAAGACAUAUAUAUAUAUAAGCACAAAAUCUUUAUUUGGUUUUCAUAGUUAUGUAUAUCUAUAUUUUAAUAUAGUAUAAGUAUAAAGAUAGAUAGAAAUACUUAGCGGGUUAAAUGGGGCUGCUCUCCCCCAAGCUGAAUUUUGACGUAAUUUCCCUUGAUAUAGCUAGCAGGUGGCAGAGGUGUAUUUGAAAGUCGGCAGUAUCUUGAUAGCGAUUAGAAUGUCCUCCGUCUGCUAGUCUUCUUGAUUCUUAAAUUCUGUGGAUUCUGUGGAGCUCAAAUAGACAACAAAGCUUUGUGGAACUGAUUAGGUGUUAGCAUAAAUAUCUAGCCUUUAUCAUGUUGAGACUCCUUAAUAAAUAUUACUCUCUAUUUUUUAUUUUCAUUUUAUAGAGCAGAAAAAUAUUUAUUUUAUUUUUAUGCCACCACAGUGAAUGUACUUAUGGGUUUUAUGCCACUCGUAUACUCACAUGGGGCUUACUGGUUUUAACAUUUUUAUUUUGUUUUUAGAAUAGUAUGAACAUGAUUAACUAAGUAAACUAUUUUAAAUAAUUGAAAAGGAAAGGAUAACUAGCAAGUUUACCUCUCGGCAAGGCGUUCGGUGUUUUUAAGUCCUCUGAAUGAGACUCUCCGUUUUCAAGUUGUCCUGGGAUUCGUUGGGUGGCGGAGUCGGUACUUCUGGCGGCGUCUCCUCUUCAUGUAUAGUUAUCUUCUCUUUCCAUACAUGACUCGGUGCUACGGUCUCCUCUGGAUAAUUCUGUUUAAACUGUAUGUCUUCUGACCUUAUCACUUCUCCUUCGUAGUCUGCCCAUCCAUCCUUGAUGAUCUGCCUCCUCUGGUUGCGGUUGCGUCGUUUUCUGACCUGCUUAGAGUCUUCAACGAUAUAGUUAGGGUCAGUAAAAUAGUGGCGUACCCUUCUCUGAGGGGAAGUGCAUAUNNNNNNNNNNNNNNNNNNNNNNNNNNNNNNNNNNNNNNNNNNNNNNNNNNNNNNNNNNNNNNNNNNNNNNNNNNNNNNNNNNNNNNNNNNNNNNNNNNNNNNNNNNNNNNNNNNNNNNNNNNNNNNNNNNNNNNNNNNNNNNNNNNNNNNNNNNNNNNNNNNNNNNNNNNNNNNNNNNNNNNNNNNNNNNNNNNNNNNNNNNNNNNNNNNNNNNNNNNNNNNNNNNNNNNNNNNNNNNNNNNNNNNNNNNNNNNNNNNNNNNNNNNNNNNNNNNNNNNNNNNNNNNNNNNNNNNNNNNNNNNNNNNNNNNNNNNNNNNNNNNNNNNNNNNNNNNNNNNNNNNNNNNNCUAACUACUCAGGUAAUUAUCAAGGUAACAAUUCUUACAACAAUAAUAAUAAUUUUCCACCUCUGAGAGAGUUAGUGUCCAAUCAAGGAAAGCUAAUGGAUAACCUAUCUAAGAAAUUGGCAUCUAAUGAUAAAAUGCUAUAAAAUAUAAAUAAUAGAAUGGAUAAUUUCUCUACUGCCAUCAAGAAUCAAAUUAGCUUUAAUAAAAUGAUUAAAUCUCAGUUAAAUCAAAUAGCUUCUGCUGUUCCUGCUACUAACCCAGGUAUACCAUCACAACCGGACGGAUUAGAAUCUGCAAAUCUUGUAGACAUGUUUGAUGCAGGUAAUUGGAGUAACCCCGUCACUGAAGUUACUACUAACCUUCUGCCGGUCAAGAGAGGCGAUCCAGGACGCCCCGUCAUCCCGAUCUCCAUCGGCAUGGUGGACUUCCUAGAAGCACUCUGCGACUUUGGCUAUAGUGUCAACAUUAUGCCCAGGGUACUCUAUGAAAAAUUCUUUACAUAUCCUCUAUCUGAAACAACCAUGUGUUUGCAGUUUGUUUUCCGAAGGGAAUAUUGAAGAACCUUUGUGUCCGAGUUGGUACCUUGCAUGCCCUAGCAGAUUUCGUGGAAAUAGAGAUCGGUAAUGAUGAGGGGCACCCAUCAUCCUAGGGAGGCCAUUCUUAAACACAUCGGGAGCUGUCAUCUACGCAAGUCCUGCCAAGAUUAGUUUCUACAUCAAAGGGAAGAAGGAGACAUUUUCCUUCAAGAACAAGACUACACAAAUCCUAGAUGAAUCUCGACAUGAAUCAAGGAAGAGGACCAACAGGAGGAACAGGAACAAGCAAGUGUGGACCGAGUCAGCUAAGAUGGUCACUGCAGUUCAUGGAGGCCAAGAUCAUCAACUUAAGUCACCAUUUCUGACCAAGAAGGAUGACCCAGGAAUGCCAAGCAUCUAUUGCUCCAUAAAUGGAUACAACUUCUACAAGACGACUUGUGACACCGGAUCGAGCGUCAACAUAAUGGCUGCAGUCACCUAUCGACUCUUGUUCGGAACCAUGCCCCUAAAACCAACAUACAUUCAACUCCAGAUGGCAGAUCAGACAUUUCGAGAAGUUAAAGGAAUAGUAACUGAUGUCCCUGUCAAAAUAGACGAUCAUUUUGUCUACACAGACUUUCAAGUUAUUGACAUGGGAGAAGACGAACACGAUCCACCCAUCAUCCUUGGAAGACCGUUCCUCAGCACCGUUAAAGCAAUUAUCUACAUUGGAACUGGAGAAGUCCAUAUGCACUUCCCCUCAGAGAAGGUACGCCACUAUUUUACUGACCCUAACUAUAUCGUUGAAGACUCUAAGCAGGUCAGAAAACGACGCAACCGCAACCAGAUGAGGGAAAUCAUCAAGGAUGGAUGGGCAUACUACGAAGGAGAAGUGAUAAGGUCAGAAGACGUAGAGUUUAAACAGAAUUAUCCUGAGAAGACUGUAGCACCGAGUCAGGUAUGGAAAGAGAAGAUAAUUAUACAUGAAGAGGAGGCGCUGCCGGAAGUACCGACUCCGCCACCCAACGAAUCCCAGGACAAUUGAGAAAACGGAGUCCCGUUCGGAGGACUUAAAAACACCGAACGCCUUGCCAAGAGGUAAACUUGGUAGUUAUCCUUUCCCUUUCAAUUAUUUAAAAAUAGUUUACUUAUUUAAUCAUGUUCGUGCUAUCCUAAAAAGAAAAUAAAAAUGUAAAAAACAGUAAGCCCCAUGUGAGUAGACGAGUGGCAUAAAACCCAUAAGUACAUUCAUUGUGGUGGCAUAAAAAUAAAAUAAAAAUUUCUUUUCUGCUUUAUAAAAUGAAAAUAUAAAAUAGGGAGUAACAUUUAUUAAGGAGUCUCAACAUGAUAAAGGCUGGAUAUUUAUGCUAACACUUAAUCAAGUUCCACAAGCUUUGUUGUCUAUUUGAGCUUCACAGAAUCUAAGAAUCAAGAAGACUAGC